GAUGAACGCUGGCGGCGUGCCUAACACAUGCAAGUCGAGCGAUUCUCUUCGGAGAAGAGCGGCGGACGGGUGAGUAACGCGUGGGUAACCUGCCCUGUACACACGGAUAACAUACCGAAAGGUAUGCUAAUACGAGAUAAUAUACUUUUAUCGCAUGGUAGAAGUAACAAAGCUUUUGAGGUACAGGAUGGAUCCGCGUCUGAUUAGCUAGUUGGUAAGGUGACGGCUUACCAAGGCGACGAUCAGUAGCCGACCUGAGAGGGUGAUCGGCCACAUUGGAACUGAGACACGGUCCAAACUCCUACGGGAGGCAGCAGUGGGGAAUAUUGCACAAUGGGCGAAAGCCUGAUGCAGCAACGCCGCGUGAGCGAUGAAGGCCUUCGGGUCGUAAAGCUCUGUCCUCAAGGAAGAUAAUGACGGUACUUGAGGAGGAAGCCCCGGCUAACUACGUGCCAGCCGCCGCAGUAA
RNAcentral lists this ribosomal RNA (468 nucleotides) under uncultured bacterium. Its description in RNAcentral is "partial 16S ribosomal RNA". It matches the Rfam family "Bacterial small subunit ribosomal RNA", at positions 28 to 523 of the family's 1533-position model. The record is from RNAcentral.